UACGGAGGGGGCUAGCGUUGUUCGGAAUUACUGGGCGUAAAGGGCGCGUAGGCGGCACGGCAAGUCAGGAGUGAAAGCCCUGGGCUCAACCCGGGAACUGCUUUUGAAACUGCCGAGCUAGAGUGCGGAAGGGGCAACUGGAAUUCCCAGUGUAGCGGUGAAAUGCGUAGAUAUUGGGAAGAACACCUGAGGCGAAGGCGGGUUGCUGGGCCGACACUGACGCUGAUGCGCGAAAGCCAGGGGAGCGAACGGG
This 253-nucleotide ribosomal RNA is filed under the name uncultured bacterium. RNAcentral describes it as "partial 16S ribosomal RNA". It matches the Rfam family "Bacterial small subunit ribosomal RNA", at positions 524 to 776 of the family's 1533-position model. The record is from RNAcentral.